Molecule: ribosomal RNA, 484 nt
Filed under: uncultured bacterium
Lineage: Bacteria
Description: partial 16S ribosomal RNA
Rfam family: Bacterial small subunit ribosomal RNA
Source: RNAcentral
AUUGAACGCUGGCGGCAUGCCUAACACAUGCAAGUCGAACGGCAGCGCGGGCUUCGGCCUGGCGGCCAGUUGCGGACGGGUGAGUAAUUCAUCGGAACGUGCCCAGUAGUGGGGGAUAGCUCGGCGAAAGACGGACUAAUACCGCAUACGACCUGAGGGUGAAAGCGGGGGAUCUUCGGACCUCGCGCUAUUGGAUGGGCCGAUGACAGAUUAGCUAGUUGGUGGGGUAAAGGCCUACCAAGGCGACGAUCUGUAGCUGGUCUGAGAGGAUGACCAGCCACACUGGAACUGAGACACGGCCCAGACUCCUACGGGAGGCAGCAGUGGGGAAUUUUGGACAAUGGGCGAAAGCCUGAUCCAGCAAUGCCGCGUGUGUGAUGAAGGCCUUCGGGUUGUAAAGCACUUUUGGCGGGAACGAAAAGCAGUGUGCCAAUACCUCGGUGUGAUGACGGUACCCACAGAAUAAGCACCGGCUAACUACGUG